ACGUUGCGCAACACCCCACCGGGGAAGACGGUGAUAGUGCUCCUCCGCAUCUACCGACCAGCCAGAACCAACCUGAUUCCUAGUAUGCAUCCUCCCUCUCUGUGAAUUGUGUGAUUGUUGUAGUGUGUUCUUUGACAGUACAGUUGCUGCUCAGCACAAACAAGACUACCUGCUGGUUUUUAUACGCAAGAGGCGAGAACUGGUGAGAAAAUGCUAAGAGAUUACCUGCAUGUCUGCGAGUCUCAGAAGGUGAAGUUUAAUUGCUUCCAGUGUAUGUAUUCAAUUGUGAGAAAUGUAUCCAGACAAUUUCACAGACAUGUUACAU
Molecule: long non-coding RNA, 325 nt
Filed under: Oryza sativa (Asian cultivated rice)
Lineage: Eukaryota; Viridiplantae; Streptophyta; Magnoliopsida; Poales; Poaceae
Description: long non-coding RNA (OSAT_LNC001294)
Source: RNAcentral